AAAAGUGCUUACAGUGCAGGUAGCUUUUUAAGAUCUACUGCAAUGCAAGCACUUCUUAC
This 59-nucleotide microRNA precursor is filed under the name Cavia porcellus (domestic guinea pig). Its description in RNAcentral is "microRNA cpo-mir-106a precursor". Its record names the gene cpo-mir-106a. It matches the Rfam family "mir-17 microRNA precursor family", at positions 11 to 70 of the family's 80-position model. Rfam says of the family: This family represents the microRNA (miRNA) precursor mir-17, family, which includes mir-20, mir-91, and mir-103. miRNAs are transcribed as ~70nt precursors (modelled here) and subsequently processed by the Dicer enzyme to give a ~22nt product. In this case the mature sequence comes from the 3' arm of the precursor. The extents of the hairpin precursors are not generally known and are estimated based on hairpin prediction. The record is from miRBase by way of RNAcentral. Lineage: Eukaryota; Metazoa; Chordata; Mammalia; Rodentia; Caviidae.